GGAUGUGAGGGCGAUCUGGCUGUGACAUCUAUCACCCCGUUGAUCAUCAGGGUUGAUUGGGCUGAUGUGGCUGCCUGGGCUGUGUUCCUUUCCUCCCUCACUGCUGCAUGUGUGUCCCUCUUGAAGCAGCCUGUUUGGUUGAAGAGGACCACCUUCCUCAGUAGAGGAAGACCAUUCUUUGGUCAAGGGUACGUGAGUAUGUGAGUAGCUACGCUCCCCUGCUAGAACUUUCAAACAAGCUCUCGGGGUCCAUUUGUAGGAGAAUAUAGGGUAGUCAAGCUUCCAAGACUCCCGACACAUCCAAGUGAGGCAUUGAACUUGGCAGUCUGCCUUUCU
This 336-nucleotide small nuclear RNA is filed under the name Neogale vison (American mink). RNAcentral's name for it is "Neovison vison (American mink) 7SK RNA (ENSNVIG00000006564.1)". It matches the Rfam family "7SK RNA". From Rfam's summary of the family: 7SK was discovered as an abundant small nuclear RNA in the mid-70s but a possible function has only recently been suggested. Two independent studies have found that 7SK RNA binds the CDK9/cyclin T complex (known as elongation factor P-TEFb). The record is from RNAcentral. Lineage: Eukaryota; Metazoa; Chordata; Mammalia; Carnivora; Mustelidae.